CCUGCUUGUCCUGCAUCCACGGUCAUGAUUGCAGGAAGGUAGUGAGAACAGGAUCUUAAACAUGCAGUCAGCCGAAUCAUUAAAAAGCAGCCACAAGGAAAACUCAUAAAAACAGUACCACCCCCGAAGCGACUCAGAAACUCAAGGUAUAUUUUGAAGGAAGAGCGCGAUCCUUCUUGAAGUCUGGCAAUAGUUGU
Molecule: non-coding RNA, 197 nt
Organism: Loxodonta africana (African savanna elephant)
Lineage: Eukaryota; Metazoa; Chordata; Mammalia; Proboscidea; Elephantidae
Source: Rfam